GACGAACGCUGGCGGCGUGCCUAAUACAUGCAAGUCGAACGCACAGUUUAUACCGUAGCUUGCUCCACCAUAGACUGUGAGUUGCGAACGGGUGAGUAACGCGUAGGUAACCUGCCUGGUAGCGGGGGAUAACUAUUGGAAACGAUAGCUAAUACCGCAUAAUAUUAAUUAUUGCAUGAUAAUUAAUUGAAAGGUGCAAUUGCACCACUACCAGAUGGACCUGCGUUGUAUUAGCUAGUAGGUGAGGUAACGGCUCACCUAGGCGACGAUACAUAGCCGACCUGAGAGGGUGAGAGGCCAAGCUGGGAGUGAGAAACGGCCCAGACCCCUACGGGAGGGAGCAGGAGGGAACCGGCGGCAAGGGAAGAAAGUCUGACCGGGGGACGCCGGGUGAGUGAAGAAGGGUUUCGGAUCGUAAAGCUCUGUUGUAAGGGAAGAACGGGUGUGAGAGUGGAAAGUUCACACUGUGACGGUAGCUUACCAGAAAGGGACGGCUAACUACGUG
RNAcentral lists this ribosomal RNA (505 nucleotides) under uncultured bacterium. RNAcentral describes it as "partial 16S ribosomal RNA". It matches the Rfam family "Bacterial small subunit ribosomal RNA", at positions 28 to 507 of the family's 1533-position model. The record is from RNAcentral.